CGCCUUCCGUUCCUUUUGAUCCUCUUCCAAUGGCAAUAUUUUCUCAACGAAUUCUUCCUUUCCUGCUUCCUCCUCCUUACCACUGCUAUUCUCCCUGGAGCAUUCUUCUUCCUUGUUGCCACCAUUAUUCUCACCCACCCCAUCUUCAAUUGCAUCUCCACUCCCACUCAUUCUAUCAUUGGAAACCUUCUCACAAUCUGACAUCUCAUCAACUUCCUUCCCUGCAUCUUUUUCUGUCUCAUGGCUCGAAGGAGAUCCAGCUUCUGUUUUCCCCUCAGAAGCAAUUUCAUUCUUCACCUCUGCUACAUUUUCUGACACUGCUUUCCCUUC
Molecule: long non-coding RNA, 330 nt
Filed under: Vitis vinifera (wine grape)
Lineage: Eukaryota; Viridiplantae; Streptophyta; Magnoliopsida; Vitales; Vitaceae
Description: long non-coding RNA (VVIN_LNC004365)
Source: RNAcentral